UUAAGCGACCAAGCGUACACGGUGGAUGCCCUGGCAGUCAGAGGCGAUGAAGGACGUGCUAAUCUGCGAAAAGCGCCGGUAAGGUGAUAUGAACCGUUAUAACCGGCGAUGUCCGAAUGGGGAAACCCAGUGUGACUCGUCACACUAUCAUUAACUGAAUCCAUAGGUUAAUGAGGCGAACCGGGGGAACUGAAACAUCUAAGUACCCCGAGGAAAAGAAAUCAACCGAGAUUCCCCCAGUAGCGGCGAGCGAACGGGGAGGAGCCCAGAGCCUGAAUCAGCAUGUGUGUUAGUGGAAGCGUCUGGAAAGGCGCGCGAUACAGGGUGACAGCCCCGUACACAAAAGCGCAUGUGCUGUGAGCUCGAUGAGUAGGGCGGGACACGUGGUAUCCUGUCUGAAUAUGGGGGGACCAUCCUCCAAGGCUAAAUACUCCUGACUGACCGAUAGUGAACCAGUACCGUGAGGGAAAGGCGAAAAGAACCCCGGCGAGGGGAGUGAAACAGAACCUGAAACCGUGUACGUACAAGCAGUGGGAGCAUGAGUUUACUCAUGUGACUGCGUACCUUUUGUAUAAUGGGUCAGCGACUUAUAUUCUGUAGCAAGGUUAACCGUAUAGGGGAGCCGCAGGGAAACCGAGUCUUAACCGGGCGUUAAGUUGCAGGGUAUAGACCCGAAACCCGGUGAUCUAGCCAUGGGCAGGUUGAAGGUUGGGUAACACUAACUGGAGGACCGAACCGACUAAUGUUGAAAAAUUAGCGGAUGACCUGUGGCUGGGGGUGAAAGGCCAAUCAAACCGGGAGAUAGCUGGUUCUCCCCGAAAGCUAUUUAGGUAGCGCCUCGUGAAUUCAUCUCCGGGGGUAGAGCACUGUUUCGGCCAGGGGGCCAUCCCGGCUUACCAACCCGAUGCAAACUGCGAAUACCGGAGAAUGUUAUCACGGGAGACACACGGCGGGUGCUAACGUCCGUCGUGAAGAGGGAAACAACCCAGACCGCCAGCUAAGGUCCCAAAGUCAUGGUUAAGUGGGAAACGAUGUGGGAAGGCCCAGACAGCCAGGAUGUUGGCUUAGAAGCAGCCAUCAUUUAAAGAAAGCGUAAUAGCUCACUGGUCGAGUCGGCCUGCGCGGAAGAUGUAACGGGGCUAAACCAUGCACCGAAGCUGCGGCAGCGACACUGUGUGUUGUUGGGUAGGGGAGCGUUCUGUAAGCCUGCGAAGGUGGCCUGUGAGGGUUGCUGGAGGUAUCAGAAGUGCGAAUGCUGACAUAAGUAACGAUAAUGCGGGUGAAAAACCCGCACGCCGGAAGACCAAGGGUUCCUGUCCAACGUUAAUCGGGGCAGGGUGAGUCGACCCCUAAGGCGAGGCCGAAAGGCGUAGUCGAUGGGAAACAGGUUAAUAUUCCUGUACCUGGUGUUACUGCGAAGGGGGGACGGAGAAGGCUAUGUUGGCCGGGCGACGGUUGUCCCGGUUUAAGCGUGUAGGCUGGUUUUCCAGGCAAAUCCGGAAAAUCAAGGCUGAGGCGUGACGACGAGGCACUACGGUGCUGAAGCAACAAAUGCCCUGCUUCCAGGAAAAGCCUCUAAGCCUCAGGUAACAUCAGAUCGUACCCCAAACCGACACAGGUGGUCAGGUAGAGAAUACCAAGGCGCUUGAGAGAACCCGGGUGAAGGAACUAGGCAAAAUGGUGCCGUAACUUCGGGAGAAGGCACGCUGACACGUAGGUGAAGUGAUUUACUCAUGGAGCUGAAGUCAGUCGAAGAUACCAGCUGGCUGCAACUGUUUAUUAAAAACACAGCACUGUGCAAACACGAAAGUGGACGUAUACGGUGUGACGCCUGCCCGGUGCCGGAAGGUUAAUUGAUGGGGUCAGCGCAAGCGAAGCUCCUGAUCGAAGCCCCGGUAAACGGCGGCCGUAACUAUAACGGUCCUAAGGUAGCGAAAUUCCUUGUCGGGUAAGUUCCGACCUGCACGAAUGGCGUAAUGAUGGCCAGGCUGUCUCCACCCGGGACUCAGUGAAAUUGAACUCGCUGUGAAGAUGCAGUGUACCCGCGGCAAGACGGAAAGACCCCGUGAACCUUUACUAUAGCUUGACACUGAACACUGGUCCUUGAUGUGCAGGAUAGGUGGGAGGCUUUGAAGUGUGGACGCCAGUCUGCAUGGAGCCAUCCUUGAAAUACCACCCUUUAAUGGCUGGUGUUCUAACGUAGACCCGUGAACCGGGUUGCGGACAGUGUCUGGUGGGUAGUUUGACUGGGGCGGUCUCCUCCUAAAGCGUAACGGAGGAGCACGAAGGUUGGCUAAUCCUGGUCGGACAUCAGGAGGUUAGUGCAAUGGCAUAAGCCAGCUUGACUGCGAGCGUGACGGCGCGAGCAGGUGCGAAAGCAGGUCAUAGUGAUCCGGUGGUUCUGAAUGGAAGGGCCAUCGCUCAACGGAUAAAAGGUACUCCGGGGAUAACAGGCUGAUACCGCCCAAGAGUUCAUAUCGACGGCGGUGUUUGGCACCUCGAUGUCGGCUCAUCACAUCCUGGGGCUGAAGUAGGUCCCAAGGGUAUGGCUGUUCGCCAUUUAAAGUGGUACGCGAGCUGGGUUUAGAACGUCGUGAGACAGUUCGGUCCCUAUCUGCCGUGGGCGCUGGAGAACUGAGGGGGGCUGCUCCUAGUACGAGAGGACCGGAGUGGACGCAUCACUGGUGUUCGGGUUGUCAUGCCAAUGGCACUGCCCGGUAGCUAAAUGCGGAAGAGAUAAGUGCUGAAAGCAUCUAAGCACGAAACUUGCCCCGAGAUGAGUUCUCCCUGAGACUACAAGUCUCCUGAAGGAACGUUGAAGACGACGACGUUGAUAGGCCGGGUGUGUAAGCGCAGCGAUGCGUUGAGCUAACCGGUACUAAUGAACCGUGAGGCUUAACCUU
Molecule: ribosomal RNA, 2903 nt
Filed under: Salmonella enterica subsp. arizonae
Lineage: Bacteria; Pseudomonadati; Pseudomonadota; Gammaproteobacteria; Enterobacterales; Enterobacteriaceae
Description: bacterial LSU rRNA
Rfam family: Bacterial large subunit ribosomal RNA
Source: RNAcentral